UAUUAAAAGUUUUAUUCAUUGUGCAGUUAAAAACUAAUGUAACUAAUGAAAUAACCAAAUAAUGACAUGUGAAACCAUCUGUACAUCAAACUGAUAUCUAGAGACUAGUUUUUAACAGUAGAAAUGAAUAAAAUUUUUAACA
This 142-nucleotide microRNA precursor is filed under the name Gossypium hirsutum (cotton). RNAcentral's name for it is "MIR7502 microRNA precursor family". It matches the Rfam family "MIR7502 microRNA precursor family". Lineage: Eukaryota; Viridiplantae; Streptophyta; Magnoliopsida; Malvales; Malvaceae. The record is from Rfam by way of RNAcentral.